GGCCUGGUAGCACAACGGUUGAGCACUUGGCUGCUAACAGAAAGACUGGAGGUUCGAACCCACCCAGGGCCU
This 72-nucleotide transfer RNA is filed under the name Loxodonta africana (African savanna elephant). It matches the Rfam family "tRNA". Rfam says of the family: Transfer RNA (tRNA) molecules are approximately 80 nucleotides in length. Their secondary structure includes four short double-helical elements and three loops (D, anti-codon, and T loops). The record is from Rfam by way of RNAcentral. Lineage: Eukaryota; Metazoa; Chordata; Mammalia; Proboscidea; Elephantidae.